AGUACGCUCGCAAGGGUGAAACUCAAAGGAAUUGACGGGGGCCCGCACAAGCGGUGGAGCAUGUGGUUUAAUUCGAUGCAACGCGAAGAACCUUACCAGGGCUUGACAUACUACAAAUUCUUUUGAGAAAAAGAAGUGCCUUCGGGAAUGUAGAUACAGGUGGUGCAUGGCUGUCGUCAGCUCGUGUCGUGAGAUGUUGGGUUAAGUCCCGCAACGAGCGCAACCCUUAUUUUUAGUUACCAAUUCGUUGGGUUCUCUAGAAAGACUGCCGGUGACAAACCGGAGGAAGGUGAGGAUGACGUCAAGUCAGCAUGCCCCUUAUGUCCUGGGCUACACACGUGCUACAAUGGUUAAGACAAAGAGUCGCGAGCUCGUGAGAGUCAGCUAAUCUCAUAAACUUAGCCCAAGUUCAGAUUGUAGGCUGCAACUCGCCUACAUGAAGUUGGAAUCGCUAGUAAUCGCUGGUCAGCCAUACAGCGGUGAAUCCGUUCCCGGGCCUUGUACACACCGCCCGUCACACCAUGGGAGCUGGUCAUACCCGAAACCGUUUGCUUAACCGUUUGGAGGGUGACGUCUAAGGUAGGGCUAGUGACUGGGGUGAAGUCGUAACAAGGUAACC
RNAcentral lists this ribosomal RNA (619 nucleotides) under uncultured phototrophic eukaryote. Its description in RNAcentral is "bacterial SSU rRNA". It matches the Rfam family "Bacterial small subunit ribosomal RNA", at positions 879 to 1501 of the family's 1533-position model. The record is from RNAcentral.